UACGUAGGUCCCGAGCGUUGUCCGGAUUUAUUGGGCGUAAAGCGAGCGCAGGUAGUUUAUUAAGUCUGGUGUAAAAGGCAGUGGCUCAACCAUUGUAUGCAUUGGAAACUGGUAGACUUGAGUGCAGGAGAGGAGAGUGGAAUUCCAUGUGUAGCGGUGAAAUGCGUAGAUAUAUGGAGGAACACCGGUGGCGAAGGCGGCUCUCUGGCCUGUAACUGACACUGAGGCUCGAAAGCGUGGGGAGCAAACAGG
Molecule: ribosomal RNA, 252 nt
Filed under: uncultured bacterium
Lineage: Bacteria
Description: partial 16S ribosomal RNA
Rfam family: Bacterial small subunit ribosomal RNA
Source: RNAcentral